AUGAUAUUUAAUUAUGGUAUAAUAUAUGUAUAUGUUUUUAAAAUUUAUAUGAAUUUUGGUUUAAAUUUUAUUUUAGUAGUAUAUAAUUUUAAUUAUUAAAAAAAUUUAGAAUUAGUAAUAAAUUUUAGUAUUUGCUUAUUUUGUGCCAGCAGCAGCGGUUAUACAAAAGAUAUAAUACAUAUAUAUUAGUUUUAAUUAAUAGAUUUAUAAUUAGUAAAUUAAAAUUUAAAUUUUAAGGUGAAAUUUUAAUUUAAAAUUAAUUUAUAUUUAAUAAAUAUGAGGUUAGGAAUUUUUUUUUUAAACUAGGAUUAGAUACCCUAUUAUUUUAAAUGUAAAUUAUUAAGCUAAGUGAUUAAUAGUUAUGUUCUUUAAAGCUAAAUAAUUUGGCGGUAGUUUAAACUUUUCAGAGGAACCUGUUCUAUAAACGAUACUCCACGAUUAAAUUAACUUUGAUUAGAAAUUUUUAUAUCAUUGUUGUUAAAUAUUUUAUUAGAAUAUAAUAUUUAAAAUUUCUUAAUAAAGAAAAAAAUCAAAUCAAGGUGAAGUUUAUAUUAAAGAAGAAAUGGGUUACAUUAAAUUUUAUUUAUGAAUUAUUGUUUUGAAAAAACUUAUGAAAUUGGAUUUGAAGGUAAUUAAAUGAUAUUUAUAUUUAAUGAUUAAGCUCUAAAUUAUGCACAUAUUGCCCGUCGCUUUCACUUUUAAUGGAAUAAGUCGUAACAUAGUAGAUUUACUGGAAAGUGAUUCUAGAAAGAU
Molecule: non-coding RNA, 753 nt
Filed under: Hippodamia undecimnotata
Lineage: Eukaryota; Metazoa; Arthropoda; Insecta; Coleoptera; Coccinellidae
Source: RNAcentral